CCGACCUCCUCGCCCCGCCCCCUCCGUCCCGCCCGGGCUGCUCGCCCCGCCCCCGCGCGGCGCUGGGAGGCGGGAGCUGUCUCUGAGAACCUGCGGGAGAGCGCCCGGGCUUGCUGCUUCCCGGACCCGCGCGUCUCUCGAGCACCCUCGUCCCACCACCUUGUGAGGCCGUAGUGUUAUUUUUAUUUUUUAGAUCAGCAGACUGAGACUCGAGGUGACGUCACUCCGCAGAGAGGUUAGCUGACUUGAAGAAAACGGAAUGUCUGCAUUGGAAUCGCCUCACCUCCUUUUACCGCUGGAGAAGCCGACGGACAGACGGGCAGCGACCCCCGCCGUCGCACAACCCGUCUAGGCAGAGAGCGCAGGAGACGGGAGGGCGGCAGGGACACAUCUCCCAGCCAAGGACCUCCUGGGCCCGCAGAGGCCGCGACAGGUUCCCCCCACAGAGGGAACCAACUCUGCCGCAGGUUGAUGUGGACUUCAAGCCUGCAGAACGGAGAGCCCAUUUCCAUUGCUUAAAGCCACCUCGUGUGUGGUAUUUGUUAUGGUCCCUGUACACUCCCUUCCCUCCCUCUCCCAAGUCCAGUCCGCAGCUCGCUCAUCACCAGGCUCUUUUCCAUGACUCUUUCUUGAUCAGGCCUUUUUAUCGUCCUCACCACAGGUUAGAGCACAGCAGACUGAGCCACCCAGAACUGGCCCCUCCGGUGGACCAGCCCCUGCGGAUUCACAGACCACUGGUCCUGGAAGGGACCUUGUCAAGCAGGCCCAUAAGGUAAUCCCUCCCCGGAAAGAGAAGAUCACAGAUUUUGUCAUAUUAAAUACAUUGUAGAAAUUCAUGGUAGCAGGGGCAAGAUCAUUUAAACAAAACAGAAAGUUUCAGAGAGAGAAAAAGCCAAGGACAAAGAUUAAUCAUUUUUCUGCUUAAAAAAAAUGGCUUUGAUUUGCAACCAUGGAAUGCUCCACUGUUUCUCUUCUCUUCAAAGACAUCUACUGAAAGGAUUCCUUAACCUUACCAAGUGGCCAAAAUACUUUUCUGAGAAGAGUCACAGAGCAUAGGCCCCCCUAGGGUACACAGAGAUUUCAUUAGUCCCUAGAUGUUUCCUGAUCCUUUUAAAAACUGGUUAAAUUCAGAGACUCUAGGCAAUUACUUCUUUCAGAACCUGUGAGGCAAAAACGAAAGAAGAAGGCAGGACACGCAGUGUAACAAACCUUGGAAUGGACUUCGCCAGACUUCAUCAGAAGAAAGCAGUGCAAGAGGGGACUGCAGAGGAAAGCUGGGGCUUGGGAAACCAGCAGCAGGGGCCACGUGGGCAGGUGGUUUCUGUGUGAACCUCUGAUCUGUGCAACAUAAACAGGAAAUGUUGAAGGCUUCCAGUGCUCUUUUUUGAUGUCGAGAACAUUCUACGGCACAAAAGAGUUUGCCUCUCACUGUUUCUCAUAUAUGGAGGUUUUCUAAUCAGCAUCCUGAACAGAAUUGAAUUAAAAAUAAAAACCAAAGUAAAACUAGC
RNAcentral lists this long non-coding RNA (1508 nucleotides) under Homo sapiens (human). RNAcentral's name for it is "HSALNT0317458". Lineage: Eukaryota; Metazoa; Chordata; Mammalia; Primates; Hominidae. The record is from RNAcentral.